GGGCGCUUCCUUAUUCUGUUGGUGGGAGUAAAGAAGUCGUCCUGGCCAGCAGUGUGGGGCCUGGGGAUGAAUUCCACCAGGGUGGUUCCUCUGGUGAAGUUGAUACUGCGUUGUGACGGUGCAAACUGGGGGGCGCUGGCCCUGGGGCCCAGCACGUGUUGGUUUGGCUAUUUGCUUCAUGGAUGGGCUUCAGCAGCUUUGGUUGAUCUUGACCCCCAGCAAUGCGCCCCUGGUGAGGCUGAGGGGGCACCCUUUGCAGAAGAAACUGAACAUUCUGGAUAUUUCCCUCCCCAUACCCACCGCAGCCAGAGUGUGCUACUGUGAUUUGACUUGGAGUGAUCUGUGAUAGGUGACCCGAAGGGGCACUGCAGGGAGAGGCCACUGCACUUUAUUUUUUAGAUUUUAAAAUUUUAUUUUAUGCCGGGCGGUGGGCAGAGGCAGGUGAAUCUCUGUGAGUUCGAGGCCAGCCUGGUCUCCAGAGUGAGUGCCAGGAUAGGCUCUAAAGCUGCACAGAGAAACCCUGUCUCGAGAAAAAAAAAAAAAAAAAAAGUGAGAGUCUUGCUUGCACAUAUGUCUGUGUAGUGUGUGCAUGCUUCAUGCCCACAGAGUUCAGAAGAGGGUAUUUGAUUCCCUCUGGAGGCCAAGAACUAAACCUGGGUUCUCUUGCAAGAGCAACAAGUGCUCUUAACCGUUGGGCCAUCUCUCCAGCCCCCAGCCAAUGCCACUAUUAUUAAUUACGCCAGGGUACUAGGCCUUGCUGUGACUGUCCAGGUGACCAGGUUGGGACUCACAGGUGUGCCUCACCUGUCACAGAGAUGUUUGCACUGAACUUUGUUGGUAAGUAUGGGUCCUGAAGGGCUGUCUGGCAGCCGUGGUGGUUGCCAUGUGAGUUCUGGCAGAGUGGAGAGACAGGAGGUAACCCCAACAAAGCGGAGACACUGUCCUCUCUCCCUGCCCCACCAGGUGAUUCCUCGAUAAACCAUCUUCCUUCAGCAAGGCUGCCUCUUCCAACCCCAACAGGUCUGAGCACACAGCCGCCUCUCACUGUCCCAAGAGUGCGUGUGUACUGGGGAAAGCUUCCUUUCAUCCUGUGUGGGGAAGCGGGUACCCUGUAGAGAAGGGAUGACUGGCAGCUGAGGGACCCAGCGAGGCAGCUCUGGUGGCACUUUGUGAAAGUCAGGCAAGGAGGGGAUCUGGGUCUGGAAGGUCCAUGUGGGGAGUGUGCUCUGCAGAAGGGACACUGAGUGCCGGGGACCUGAAGACCACGCGGAACUCAGUGUGCUUCAGCACAAGCCCUAUGAAUGCUCACUCAAGUUUUGUUUUUGUGGGGUUUUUCUUUUUUCUUUUGAAAUAGGGUCUCAUAUAGCCCAGGCUAGCUUCAUACUGCCUGUAUAGCUGGGCUGACCCUGAACUUCUGAUCCUCCCGCCUCUGCUUCCUGAGUGCUGGAAUUAUGAUGUGCCACCAUGCCUGGCUUUAUUUCUUUUUUUCUUCCUUUCUUCCUUCCUCCCUUCCUUCCUUGUUAGGAUAAAUCUUUCCGCCAAAGCUGCCAAACCCCACCACGAUGUGUGAGCUUUACACCAGCUGCCCGUCCAGGCCCAAAUGAAUACACAGAAACUUGUAUUAGGUUCAAAUGCUGCUUGGCCAAUGACUAGGAUUCUCAUCUGCUAGCUCAGUCUUAAUUAUCAUAAACCUAUAUGUUUUAUAAGAAUUAUCUUAUAGAGGAUGCUUUUCACUGCCACCCUCUCUUGCUGGUGGCUCACAUUGUGUCACUGGAGGAGGCGAAGGGGAAAGAGGGCCAUUUCCUGUUUCUCCUUGCUUAAAUAUGAGUCUCCUUGCUAUGUCACUUCCUGCCUGGAUCACCACUUCUCUACUACAUUUCCCAGAAUCCUCUUUGACUCCUAGUCCUGUCUAACUUGCUGCCAUUGGCCAAACAGUAUUUUAUUCAACAAUCAAUAAGAUGAACAUACACAGAAGUACAUUCCCCAUCACUACCUUUUUAAAAAUAAACCCAAGAAGUACCAAGAAAUCUAAAUGACCCAGUCUUUCCCAGCACAACCUAUUGGCCCUGAAAAGAAAGUAAUUCACUCGGUAGAUUUCAAUAGCCGACAAAAGUCUAGAAUGAAAAGCUCAGCCUUGCUUCUCAUCUUUUACCCCAAAGCUAAGUUCUUUUCACUCAUGAGUACUUCCAAAAGGGUUCACCAUGGACCAUAAUGUGUCACAGGUUAGUUCUGUGACUUGCUGGGAGCGGAUCACUCAGACUUCUACAGGACACACUCAAGUGUUGGUGGCUGUUUCCAUCAAGGCUUGGGGGUUGGGGACACACUCCAUUGUGUGUAGUGGCUGUAUGUAAACUGUCAUGGAUGCUGUAAACAAUCUAUUAGAACAGUUUCCUCUGGAUGUGUUUUGCUUUUGUGAGCCUGGCUGGUGGAAUUAGGUCACUGAGAGGUGAACUUUAAGCUUCCGGCCCCACACCUCCUGCUUCCUUCCGGGUCUGCUGUAUAGUCUCCGUCACACUUGGGCCGCCAGGAGCUCUACGUGCCUCCCCCACAGAGGUGGACUGAAAUCCCUCAAACCAUGAUCCGAAAUAAACAUUCCUUUCCAUCAUGCCUUUUGGUAACAGCGAAGAGAAAGUUAACUACUAUGAUGCCUUUCAAGGAGUUGUCCAUUUGACUCAGGUUAUAGAUCCAACUGUUUGAAUAAGCAAUUUAAAGCCAUUUAACAUACCAUUGUAAAUGCUUCCAGUGGGUCUGAUGGUCAGUUCUCGUCCCCCAGAAGAACCACCUAACUCAGGGGUCUGCAUCAUGGUGUUCACCUUCCACGGCCACCAUCUCAUUAGCUGUUGAAACCUGGUGUAGAAAGGAGUUGAGCCAAAUAGCACAAGUGUACUCCAGCGUGUGGGAAGCUGAGGCAGGAAAAUUGCCACAAGUUCAAGGCUGACCUGGCCGCAUAACAAGGGAUUAUUAUCUGGAAAGACAGACAAAUAGAAAGCAGAACACAUCCAGGUGUGGUGGAGCCCAUUCAUAAUCCCAGUGUUUAAGGCGCUGAGGCAGGUUUUGUUUUGACACUGGAUGUCCAGUAACUCCCUCUGUAGACCAGGCUGGCCUUAAAUUCAGAGAUCUACCUGCCUCUACCUCCUGAGUGCUAGGAUUAAAGGCAUGCGCCACCACACCUGGCUCUGAGACAGUUUGAGGACAGCUACGUAGUACGUUUGAGGCAGUUUCAAAAAUCCCAAACCAUGAGGACAAUGAGCUAGCUCACCUUGUAAAGGCACUUGAAGCACAAGCCCGACAGCCAAAGUUCAGUCCCCAGAACCAAGUAAAGUUGGAAGGAGAGAACUGACUCCAGAAAAAAUUAAGCUCCUGAGAAAACAUUGCAUUCUAUUCAAAAGCUUUGGAGAACACCUUGACUACUGAGAGACAGGUGAAAACUUAACGUGGAGCAGCAGCUUGAGAUGCUCUGCAAGACAAGAAGUAGGCAAAUCUCCUGGGAUGUGGCAUGUUCUUUAAGUAUUUGUGCUUAAAUUGGGCAGUGGCUAGCCCAGGCCUUUAAUCCCAGCACUCAGGAGGUACAGAGGCAGUGGGAUCUCUGAGUUCAAGGCCAGCCUGGUCUACAGAAAGAGUUCCAAGACAGCCAGGGUUAUCCUGUCUCAAAAAACCAAUAAAUAAAUGUUUGUUUUUACAUUUGUGUAUGUGUGUGUGAAAGAGAGAGAGGUUGUGUGCUGUAUGCUGUGUGUGUGUGGCUAUCCACAGGAGUCAGAAAAAAGGCACCUGAUCCCCCGAAGCUGGAGAUGGAGCUAUCUGAAGUGGUUGCUGGGAACUGAACUCAGGGCCUCUGGAGGAGCAGUAUUGCACUCUUAACCUCUGAGCCAUCUCUUCUGCCCCAGGCAUGUUUUGUAGGUUUAUUAUUUGUUUUUUUUUGAGACAGGGGUCUCUCCCUACAGCCCUGUCUGUUCUGGAACUUACUCUGUAGACCAGGCUGACCUCUAACUCAUAGAAUAGAAAUCCACCUGCCAAAUAUGUUUCUGUUUGUUAUUUCUUUUUCUUUUUCUUUCUUUCUUUCUUUUUUUUUUUUUUUGGUUUUUCGAGACAGGGUUUCUCUGUGUAGCUUUGGAGCCUAUCCUGGCACUCGCUGGCUUCGAACUCACAGAGAUAUGCCUGCCUCUGCCUCCCUUAAGGCGUGCGCCACCACCGCCCAUCUGUUUGUUUGUUUUAUUAUUUUUUUAAAAGAACUUAUUUAUUUAUUAUGUAUACAACAUUCUGCUUCCAUAUAUAUCUGAACACCAGAAGAGGGCACCAGAUCUCAUUGUAGAUGGUUGUGAGCCACCAUGUGGUUGCUGGGAAUUGAACACUCAUGACCUCUGGAAGAGUAGUCGGUGCUCUUAACCUCUGAGCCAUCUCUCCAGCCCUGUUUGUUUGUUUUAAAGAGCACAGGACACAAGGUAUGGCGGCCCAUGUCUCUAAUUCCAGUACUUGGGAGGCAGAGGCAGGCAGAUCUCUGUGAGUUCAAGGGCAGUCUGUUCUAUAUAGUGAGUUUCUGGCUAUCCAGGGUUACAAAGUGAGACCCUGUCUUAAAAAAAAAAAAUCACAAGUCUCAGCACAGAGGAUGCACCUUCACAUGCUCCUCCAGGUAGGCCCUUCUCUCCCCAGGCCCAUGUGACUGUAGUAUUCAAACAGCUUUGCUAUGAACCAUCAAGAGGACCCUAGAGAUCCCAUCAAGCAACAGAUUGCACAGGGAAUAGAACCUAGCAUGCCAGAAUGACACCCUGAUGAUUUAGGGGCUUGGCUCCUAAAGUGUCAAAAACAACAAAAACCGGCUCCUGGGGCAGGGGCACCACCACCACUUCCCUCUUAUGUAGUAGCAUCUUGCUUUGCCAGUGAACUUGCAGUGGUGGCCACAUCCUAGGGGGCAUGGCUUCAGGGGUGCAGCCGUGACCCCCUUGGGUGGUGUUCAGAGCAUGGGAAGGGCAGAGAUUACAUCUUCAGGAGCAGGAAGACCAUGGUGAUUAUUUACUCUCUCUCUCUCUCUCUUUUUUUUUUUUUUUUGGUUUUUCGAGACAGGGUUUCUCUGUGUAGCUUUGGAGCCUUUCCUGGCACUCGCUCUAGAGACCAGGCUGACCUCGAACUCACAGAGAUCUGCCUGCCUCUGCCUCCCGAGUGCUGGGAUUAAAGGCAUGCGCC
RNAcentral lists this long non-coding RNA (5178 nucleotides) under Cricetulus griseus (Chinese hamster). RNAcentral's name for it is "lncRNA (ENSCGRG00015042186.1)". Lineage: Eukaryota; Metazoa; Chordata; Mammalia; Rodentia; Cricetidae. The record is from RNAcentral.